Molecule: ribosomal RNA, 413 nt
Filed under: Bolitaena pygmaea
Lineage: Eukaryota; Metazoa; Mollusca; Cephalopoda; Octopoda; Bolitaenidae
Description: partial 12S ribosomal RNA
Source: RNAcentral
UUUUAUUUUGUAAAAAUUAUAUUUUACUUAAGUAUUAUGAAGGAUGUUGUUAAAUGAUGAUAGUGUUGAUAUAUUUAAAACUUAAAAAGUUUGGCGGUUUUACAUAUCCAGUUAGGGGAGUUUGUUAAUUUAAAUUGAUAAUCCUCAUUUUAAACUUACUUUUUUUUGUAUUAUGUACAGUUUGUAUAUUGCUGUCGGUAGUUUAUGUUUUAAGAAUUUAUUAAAAGACUGAUGAAUAUUAUUUAUUUUUAUGUCAAGUCAUAAUGCAGCUUAUAAAAAAGGUUUAAUGAACUACUAUAAUUAAUUUUAUUAAAUUCCGGAUUUUAGAAAUUAUAUUUUAUUAGAAAGGUGGACUUAAUAGUAAUAGAUUUAGAUAAUUAGUAUGUAUUGUUGAAUAAUGGUUUUGUAAAGUG